AGAGAGAUCUGGCUAUGACAUGUGUCACCCCAUUGAUCACUAGGAUUGGUUGAUCUGGCUUGCUAAGCAUGUGUCCCCUUCCUCCCUCUAUGGGCAUCCUUUCUUUAGCUGUGUGUCUAGCUGAAGAGGAGGACCUCUCCUGAUAGAGAAGGAUCAGUCAGUCUUCAAGGCUGUGAGAGCAGCUGUCCUUCCCUGCUGGGACCUCCACACAAGCUCAGAGAGUCUGGAUGACCAGGAGCUGGUGGGAAAUGAACCCUGACGAAUCCUCCAGGCUAGAUGCUCACAUUACUGUUUCACAUCCAUCUUU
Molecule: small nuclear RNA, 307 nt
Filed under: Peromyscus maniculatus bairdii (prairie deer mouse)
Lineage: Eukaryota; Metazoa; Chordata; Mammalia; Rodentia; Cricetidae
Description: 7SK RNA (ENSPEMG00000003581.2)
Rfam family: 7SK RNA
About the family: 7SK was discovered as an abundant small nuclear RNA in the mid-70s but a possible function has only recently been suggested. Two independent studies have found that 7SK RNA binds the CDK9/cyclin T complex (known as elongation factor P-TEFb).
Source: Rfam by way of RNAcentral